CAUGUGCCGGCAUCCGGGUACGCAAGCAACCAAUACAACCACGACAUGGUGCAGUCGGCCUUCUCCGACGAGCUUCCACCCCUGCAUCAACAGCAGCACCGCGCUGGCUGUUGAAGCAUCGAGUUCAACAGCGGUGGCAAUGAACCCUUCUACAACAGAAAAUAUCAGGAAGCAGCAGCUCAGUAUACCGAAACUCUGAAAAAGAAUUUGAAUGAGUCUGCACUGCAGGGGAGGGGGAGGAGGCCGGCUACAGGGGGAAGGAGUAGGCCGGUGAGAAGGGCAA
Long non-coding RNA from Triticum dicoccoides, 283 nucleotides. RefSeq lists it as uncharacterized. Lineage: Eukaryota; Viridiplantae; Streptophyta; Magnoliopsida; Poales; Poaceae. The record is from RefSeq and is a predicted model, not a curated record. The transcript is spliced from 3 exons.